UGGGGAAUAUUGGGCAAUGGAGGGAACUCUGACCCAGCGACGCCGCGUGCGGGAUGAAGGCCUUCGGGUUGUAAACCGCUUUCAGCAGGGAGGAAGCGAAAGUGACGGUACCUGCAGAAGAAGCACCGGCUAACUAUGUGCCAGCAGCCGCGGUAAUACAUAGGGUGCAAGCGUUGUCCGGAAUUAUUGGGCGUAAAGGGCGCGUAGGUGGGCAAGUAAGUCGGGUGUGAAAUUACCGGGCUUAACCCGAUAACUGCGUCCGAAACUGUUUGUCUUGAGUGCAGAAGAGGAGAGUGGAAUUCCCAGUGUAGCGGUGAAAUGCGUAGAUAUUGGGAGGAACACCAGUGGCGAAGGCGGCUCUCUGGUCUGCAACUGACACUGAAGCGCGAAAGCUAGGGGAGCAAACGGG
Molecule: ribosomal RNA, 409 nt
Filed under: uncultured bacterium
Lineage: Bacteria
Description: bacterial SSU rRNA
Rfam family: Bacterial small subunit ribosomal RNA
Source: RNAcentral